This 508-nucleotide ribosomal RNA is filed under the name Bacillus sp. 1917BAB. RNAcentral describes it as "bacterial SSU rRNA". It matches the Rfam family "Bacterial small subunit ribosomal RNA", at positions 36 to 525 of the family's 1533-position model. Lineage: Bacteria; Bacillati; Bacillota; Bacilli; Caryophanales; Bacillaceae. The record is from RNAcentral.
UCGUGCCCUGGCGGCGUGCUAAUACAUGCAGUCGAGCGAAUCAUAUGAGGAGCUUGUCCUGUUGAUUAGCGGCGGACGGGUGAGUAACACGUGGGCAACCUGCCUGUAAGACUGGGAUAACAUCGGGAAACCGAUGCUAAUACCGGAUAAUCCUUUUCCUCACAUGAGGGAAAGCUGAAAGUCGGCGCAAGCUGACACUUACAGAUGGGCCCGCGGCGAUUAGCUAGUUGGUGAGGUAACGGCUCACCAAGGCGACGAUGCGUAGCCGACCUGAGAGGGUGAUCGGCCACACUGGGACUGAGACACGGCCCAGACUCCUACGGGAGGCAGCAGUAGGGAAUCUUCCGCAAUGGACGAAAGUCUGACGGAGCAACGCCGCGUGAGCGAUGAAGGCCUUCGGGUCGUAAAGCUCUGUUGUUAGAAAAAACAAGUACCGGAGUAACUGCCGUACCUUGACGGUACCUAACCAGAAAGCCACGGCUAACUACGUGCCAGCAGCGGUUAAAUA